ACAGAAAUUGAAGAUAUUGCUGUAAUAUGUAGGAACAUAUAUAAAUGUUGAUUGCAACAUUAAAAAAACUGUCAAAAUCGAGGAAAAACAGGGCAGUGGUUUUGAUUAUUUCUAAAACCUUAUUUAUUCGGUAAUCUGUUAUUGGAGGCUACGCCCAAUCUUGAA
Molecule: long non-coding RNA, 165 nt
Organism: Papilio xuthus (Asian swallowtail)
Lineage: Eukaryota; Metazoa; Arthropoda; Insecta; Lepidoptera; Papilionidae
Exons: 2
Source: RefSeq, a predicted model, not a curated record